Molecule: small RNA, 335 nt
Filed under: Histoplasma ohiense
Lineage: Eukaryota; Fungi; Ascomycota; Eurotiomycetes; Onygenales; Ajellomycetaceae
Description: hypothetical lncRNA
Source: RNAcentral
AAGGUGGAGUGGAAACAGGACUCGAUCCGAACAUCGGGUAUUCGUCCGCACACCUGAGCAGCGAAAGAGAGUGCGAGUAUUCAAGAAGGCGGGAGGAAAAUGUGUUCAAAUGGAAGCUCAACUGGGUGGGGGUGGAAGUUGGCGCUGAAAGUUGGGCCCGGCGACAACCUGCAGCAUCCCUUUGGCAAACGCUGUACUAUACAUAUAUUGUACUGUAAAUAGUACCAGAUUGUUUCGUUUUUUGUCCAGAAGCAUCCAGUCGGGCGGAAGCUAUCAUCAUCCUGUUGUGCUAGUAAUUGUGUCUUGGGGGAAGGGAAGAUUAAGGUCCAUGAGAA